Molecule: ribosomal RNA, 500 nt
Filed under: uncultured bacterium
Lineage: Bacteria
Description: partial 16S ribosomal RNA
Rfam family: Bacterial small subunit ribosomal RNA
Source: RNAcentral
AUUGAACGCUGGCGGCAUGCCUUACACAUGCAAGUCGAACGGCAGCACGGGAGCAAUCCUGGUGGCGAGUGGCGAACGGGUGAGUAAAGUAUCGGAACGUGCCCAGUCGUGGGGGAUAACGUAGCGAAAGUUACGCUAAUACCGCAUACGAUCUAUGGAUGAAAGCGGGGGAUCGCAAGACCUCGCGCGAUUGGAGCGGCCGAUAUCAGAUUAGGUAGUUGGUGGGGUAAAGGCUCACCAAGCCGACGAUCUGUAGCUGGUCUGAGAGGACGACCAGCCACACUGGGACUGGGACACGGCCCAGACUCCUACGGGAGGCAGCAGUGGGGAAGUUUGGACAAUGGGCGAAAGCCUGAUCCAGCCAUGCCGCGUGCAGGAUGAAGGCCUUCGGGUUGUAAACUGCUUUUGUACGGAACGAAAAGGUUUGGGCUAAUAAGCUGAGCUCAUGACGGUACCGUAAGAAUAAGCACCGGCUAACUACGUGCCAGCCGCCGCCGUAA